UAAAUAUGUAAAAAGUGCAGAUGUAAAAGGUUCAUUAUGAACAUAUAUCAUAUUUACUUAUGGAUUAGUUUUUAUAGUGUUCCUUAUGGAUCAUAUUUAAGAUAUUCUAAUGUACCCAACCUUCCAUAAUUAAAUAAUUACCUUCACAUCUCACACCACUCCAUUUCAGAGGCGAAAAAGGUCCUCCACAUGCAAAACAUUUUUCUAAACUUGACAUUUCGUCAGGGACUAGAUCAUGAUCGCAGUCCUGUUUGGUAAAAAAAAACAAAAAAAAACAACAGUGUAAUCAAAAACAAAAUUCAUACUUUUGUGAUGUAAAAUAUCACAACCAAAUAGUUGUUUUGGUUCCUCUUUAAAAAGGAGUUAAGGACGGAAGAAAAAAAAAAAAAAAAAAAAAAAAAAAAAAAACAGGUUCAAGUGUUACUAAAACUAUUAAAUCAAUUUUUGUAACUUUUGCAAUGCAAAAUUUAAAGGGAAAAAUACCUGCUGUAUAUAGAUCAAUUUUCAAAACAAUUUGUUCUUCUAGGUUUUAUAUUAUGGUAUAUAUUACAAAACCACAAUGAAAAGAAAAUUCAUUGUGGACCCACAACACCCAAAAAAGAUUAGACUUACAAUUUGUUCUUUCUGAAAUGAGAAGAUGUGUCCAAAUUUUGACUGGGAGUGUAAAAAAGUAUAAUUAAAUCAUGAAGUCAUGAAUCCAUCAAGACAUAACGGAUGGCCUUUACACAACAAUGUUACAUAAAUGUGCUUAGCAUUAACAGGAAAGAGUUUAGCGAUUGUUUCGGUUGUAUUUACAUGCUCCUUCCUAUAGUAAGCUUCAUUCUUGCUCCUUGAUCAGCUGAAAUUCAAAUAUGCGAUCUAACUACAUCAGAGUUCAUUUCAACCAAGCCGAGAACUACGUCUUUAUGCAAACCAGAUUUAGGGUUGGGGUUUCAUACUUCCUGUUUCAAAUCUCAGUCCUCCUAAUGCGUGCAUCUUACUUGGUCAAGAUAACCAAGGACCCACAUACCUCAAUACUGCCUAAUAACUAGCACCUCAGUCUACAACUAAAACAAUCUGACACUGAAACUCCAAUUUA
Long non-coding RNA from Astatotilapia calliptera (eastern happy), 1078 nucleotides. The record is from Ensembl. Lineage: Eukaryota; Metazoa; Chordata; Actinopteri; Cichliformes; Cichlidae.